UACGAAGGGGGCUAGCGUUGUUCGGAUUUACUGGGCGUAAAGCGCACGUAGGCGGACUAUUAAGUCAGGGGUGAAAUCCCGGGGCUCAACCCCGGAACUGCCUUUGAUACUGGUAGUCUUGAGUUCGAGAGAGGAUAGUGGAAUUCCCAGUGUAGUGGUGAAAUACGUAGAGAUUGGGAAGAACACCAGUGGCGAAGGCGGCUAUCUGGACGGUUUCUGACGCUAAGACGCGAAAGCGUGGGGAGCAAACAGG
This 253-nucleotide ribosomal RNA is filed under the name uncultured bacterium. Its description in RNAcentral is "partial 16S ribosomal RNA". It matches the Rfam family "Bacterial small subunit ribosomal RNA", at positions 524 to 776 of the family's 1533-position model. The record is from RNAcentral.